ACACUGGUGGUGAAGUGGAAUCAUACUUGUGUACACCUUUAGAUUCUAAACGAAUCUGUCAAUCGCAAGAGGCGAGGGUUCGAAUCCCUCUCGGUGUG
Pluteus cervinus is the source of this 98-nucleotide non-coding RNA. The record is from the annotation of a GenBank genome assembly. Lineage: Eukaryota; Fungi; Basidiomycota; Agaricomycetes; Agaricales; Pluteaceae.